GACGAACGCUGGCGGCGUGCUUAACACAUGCAAGUCGAACGGAAAGGCCCUGCUUUUGUGGGGUGCUCGAGUGGCGAACGGGUGAGUAACACGUGAGUAACCUGCCCUUGACUUUGGGAUAACUUCAGGAAACUGGGGCUAAUACCGGAUAGGAGCUCCUGCUGCAUGGUGGGGGUUGGAAAGUUUCGGCGGUUGGGGAUGGACUCGCGGCUUAUCAGCUUGUUGGUGGGGUAGUGGCUUACCAAGGCUUUGACGGGUAGCCGGCCUGAGAGGGUGACCGGCAACAUUGGGACUGAGAUACGGCCCAGACUCCUACGGGAGGCAGCAGUGGGGAAUAUUGCACAAUGGGCGGAAGCCUGAAGCAGCAACGCCGCGUGCGGGAUGACGGCCUUCGGGUUGUAAACCGCUUUCGCCUGUGACGAAGCGUGAGUGACGGUAAUGGGUAAAGAAGCACCGGCUAACUACGUG
RNAcentral lists this ribosomal RNA (468 nucleotides) under uncultured bacterium. RNAcentral's name for it is "partial 16S ribosomal RNA". It matches the Rfam family "Bacterial small subunit ribosomal RNA", at positions 28 to 507 of the family's 1533-position model. The record is from RNAcentral.